Molecule: non-coding RNA, 543 nt
Filed under: Salmo salar (Atlantic salmon)
Lineage: Eukaryota; Metazoa; Chordata; Actinopteri; Salmoniformes; Salmonidae
Description: Eukaryotic small subunit ribosomal RNA
Rfam family: Eukaryotic small subunit ribosomal RNA
Source: Rfam by way of RNAcentral
CUGUUGUAUAAAUAAACAAAAUAUCUCUGCUGUGCUUUUAAAUGGUGGAAAGCACAAUGAUAACGCAUGGGAAAUUCAACUAACUUUUGGUUGUCUUUUUGAGUGGGUGAAUAUAGGUUGCAAUCUCAUUGAUAAAUAUCUGCCUAGAAGAAACUUAAUUUAUCAGACCCAAAACCCAUGUGGGGUGCUCUCGGGUGCCCCGGCCGCUUUGGUGACUCUAGAUAACCUCGAGCCGAUCGCACGCCCUUUGUGGCGAUGACGUCUCAUUCGAAUGUCUGCCCUAUCAACUUUCAAUGGUACUUUUUGUGCCUACCAUGGUGACCACGGGUAACGGGGAAUUAGGCUUCAAUUUCGGAGAGGGAGCCUGAGAAACGGCUACCACAUCCAAAGAAGGCAGUAGGCGUGCAAAUUAUCCACUCCCAACUCGGGGAGGUAGUGACGAAAAAUAACAAUACAGGACUCUUUCGAGGCCCUGUAAUUGGAAUGAGUACACUUUAAAUCCUUUAAUGAGGAUCCAUUGGAGGGCAAGUCCAGCUACUAUAG